Bradysia coprophila is the source of this 202-nucleotide long non-coding RNA. The record is from RefSeq and is a predicted model, not a curated record. Lineage: Eukaryota; Metazoa; Arthropoda; Insecta; Diptera; Sciaridae.
AGGGCGGCAAGCCAAAUUUGAACGGAUUUAGAUGGAUUUUGCUAUAUUAGAUAGAUAUUGACCGUACCAAUCAGGGAAAAAAAGUUUAUGAAAUUCGGUUCACCAUAGCGUGAACAAGGUCCCUUAGAGUGAGGUCAUAUCCGGCUACUCGGCCGUACAGUGAGCGUGGAGUAUUUUGUGAAUAUCUCGAGUAAAUUUUGAC